Molecule: transfer RNA, 68 nt
Filed under: Megacopta bituminata
Lineage: Eukaryota; Metazoa; Arthropoda; Insecta; Hemiptera; Plataspidae
Description: tRNA-Phe
Source: RNAcentral
AUUUAAGUAGCUUAAAAGUUUUAAAGCUUAAUAUUGAAGAUAUUAUGAUAAGUACAACUUCUUAAAUA